Non-coding RNA from Actinoplanes sp. N902-109, 75 nucleotides. It matches the Rfam family "ASpks TB sRNA". Lineage: Bacteria; Bacillati; Actinomycetota; Actinomycetes; Micromonosporales; Micromonosporaceae. The record is from Rfam.
CUUCAGCGACCCCAGCCACAACGGACGGUCAGCCGGGCGGCCCUGCCCGUACGUGGCCAGCAGCGCCUGCGCCUC